CUAUGCCAUACCACCCCGAAUGUGCCCGAUCUCAUCCGAUCUUAGAAGCUAAGCAGGGUUGGGCCUGGUUAGUAUUUGGAUGGAAGAAUAGCUUAUCCUUCAGGAAGUCAGGGGAAAGUGAAGG
RNAcentral lists this ribosomal RNA (124 nucleotides) under Sorex araneus (European shrew). The record is from RNAcentral. Lineage: Eukaryota; Metazoa; Chordata; Mammalia; Eulipotyphla; Soricidae.